UGUUCUUGCCUUCUAAAAUCCCACUCUUUCCAUUGUGCCCUCAAAAUUUCUCUCUACCCUUUGUCCAAAAUUUUCAACCUUAUUUAUUAUUUAAAAAAAAACCAAAUAGAAAAUAGAAAGUUUUGAGAAAUAGCACAACCUAGCGGGCACUCCCCCCUCAGCAUACACCACCAUCCGGUCAUCAAACCCAAGAACUGCCACCACCAUCCACUGGCGACAUCCCAGCAACCCUUUCAACGCCUUUUCGAUCACCUACAAUUUCUUGGAAAAGAUGAUCUAACUAGGUCAAAUCUUGACCCGAAUUUAGACCUGCAAGUUUUCCAAAUUUCUUUGACAUCUGACCCUCCCCAACCCUUCUCCAA
RNAcentral lists this unclassified non-coding RNA (362 nucleotides) under Hevea brasiliensis (rubber tree). The record is from RNAcentral. Lineage: Eukaryota; Viridiplantae; Streptophyta; Magnoliopsida; Malpighiales; Euphorbiaceae.